GAUCCUGGCUCAGGAUGAACGCUAGCCACAGGCUUAACACAUGCGAGUCGAGGGGAAACGACAUCGAAAGCUUGCUUUUGAUGGGCGUCGACCGGCGCACUGGUGAGUAACGCGUAUCCAACCUGCCCACCACUUGGGGAUAACCUUGCGAAAGUAAGACUAAUACCCAAUGAUAUCUCUAGAAGACAUCUGAAAGAGAUUAAAGAUUCAUCGGUGAUGGAUGGGGAUGCGU
RNAcentral lists this ribosomal RNA (232 nucleotides) under uncultured bacterium. RNAcentral's name for it is "partial 16S ribosomal RNA". It matches the Rfam family "Bacterial small subunit ribosomal RNA", at positions 15 to 236 of the family's 1533-position model. The record is from RNAcentral.